GACGAACGCUGGCGGCGUGCCUAAUACAUGCAAGUUGAGCGCUGAAGGUUGGUACUUGUUCCAACUGGAUGAGCAGCGAACGGGUGAGUAACGCGUGGGGAAUCUGCCUUUGAGCGGGGGACAACAUUUGGAAACGAAUGCUAAUACCGCAUAAAAACUUUAAACACAAGUUUUAAGUUUGAAAGAUGCAAUUGCAUCACUCAAAGAUGAUCCCGCGUUGUAUUAGCUAGUUGGUGAGGUAAAGGCUCACCAAGGCGAUGAUACAUAGCCGACCUGAGAGGGUGAUCGGCCACAUUGGGACUGAGACACGGCCCAAACUCCUACGGGAGGCAGCAGUAGGGAAUCUUCGGCAAUGGACGAAAGUCUGACCGAGCAACGCCGCGUGAGGGAAGAAGGUUUUCGGAUCGUAAAACUCUGUUGGUAGAGAAGAACGUUGGUGAGAGUGGAAAGCUCAUCAAGUGACGGUAACUACCCAGAAAGGGACGGCUAACUACGUG
This 497-nucleotide ribosomal RNA is filed under the name uncultured bacterium. Its description in RNAcentral is "partial 16S ribosomal RNA". It matches the Rfam family "Bacterial small subunit ribosomal RNA", at positions 28 to 507 of the family's 1533-position model. The record is from RNAcentral.